Molecule: ribosomal RNA, 254 nt
Filed under: uncultured bacterium
Lineage: Bacteria
Description: partial 16S ribosomal RNA
Rfam family: Bacterial small subunit ribosomal RNA
Source: RNAcentral
UACGAAGGGGGCUAGCGUUGUUCGGAAUCACUGGGCGUAAAGCGCACGUAGGCGGAUUGUUAAGUCGGGGGUGAAAGCCCAGGGCUCAACCCUGGAAUUGCCUUCGAUACUGAGAGUCUUGAGUUCGGAAGAGGUUGGUGGAACUGCGAGUGUAGAGGUGAAAUUCGUAGAUAUUCGCAAGAACACCAGUGGCGAAGGCGGCCAACUGGUCCGAUACUGACGCUGAGGCGGCGAAAGCGUGGGGAGCAAACAGG